This is a non-coding RNA of Vicia faba (fava bean), 291 nucleotides long. The record is from the annotation of a GenBank genome assembly. NCBI's taxonomy places the organism in Eukaryota, Viridiplantae, Streptophyta, Magnoliopsida, Fabales, Fabaceae.
AUGUCUCUCCUUCUUUACUUUAUCGUUGAAAUUUUCAAUAUUUAUUUUAAGAUAAUCAAUACUUUGUUUUGCAUUCGUAAUCUUGCGUAUAAUAAUCAUCCGAUAAUAUCUUUUUAUAACUCGCUUUCAAAUUGUAAUCUACAUUAUUCUUCAUGUUAUUGUAUUUAUUUAGUGAUGACAUAUUAUUACGAUUUGAACAACAUGUUGAUUUUUGAAUCUUUGAUGAUUUUUGCAAUUUUUAUAGUUUUUAUACUGAAGACAUAUUUUAUGCUUGAUCUUUUAACUUUUUAG